Molecule: ribosomal RNA, 274 nt
Filed under: uncultured bacterium
Lineage: Bacteria
Description: partial 16S ribosomal RNA
Rfam family: Bacterial small subunit ribosomal RNA
Source: RNAcentral
AUACAGAGGGUGCAAACGUUGUUCGGAAUCACUGGGCAUAAAGCGUACGUAGGCGGUUUGUUAAGUGUGAAGUGAAAGCCCACGGCUCACCCGUGGAACUGCUUUGCAUACUGGCAAACUCGAGGACGGUAGGGGAGAGCGGAACUCUUGGUGGAGCGGUGAAAUGCGUAGAUAUCAAGGGGAACACCGAUGGCGAAGGCAGCUCUCCGGUCCGUUUCUGACGCUGAGGUACGAAAGCUAGGGUAGCGAACGGGAUUAGAAACCCUAGUAGUCC